AAGUGGAAUUAUUAGAUCAUAUGGUAACUCUGUUUAAUUUUUCGGGGAAUCACCACACAUGUUUUCCACAUCAGUUGUACUACUCUACAUUUUGAUAUAACGUAGAGUUGUAAUAGGGAAGAACAUUUUGUAUUCUCUUACAAGUUAAUUUAAGCCGAUAAGCUUAAAUUCCACACAAUGGCCCAUCUCGGACCCUUGCCUCCGAGAGAUGAAGGUAAAUGAGCAUUCAGCUCAAACACCUGUGUGUUUAGCUCCCAAGAAACCUCCUGAGCAGGCCCACCUGUGAAUGACUGCAGGAGGGAGAAAUGAACACCUCCCCUCCGGAGGCUGACGGGAACCAGGAAGUGCUUGGCUUUAGUCCCGCCCCUUGUAGUAUAAAAGGAGCCCGACUGCUGCCGCAGGCAAGACGGCUCCUGGGGGCACGAGCCCACCGUCUUCUGGGUUUGGGGGCUCUCCGAAGGAAGUCGUUAUUCUUUGCCCAGCAACUCGUCUCCUGAUUAUUGGCCUGUCCUGUGGCGAGCAGUGAGAGCUUGGGCAUCCAAGGCAUCUUCUUUGGGAAAAUUAUCAAUCACACAGGUGAUGGUGUGACAGACGUUUCUCCAGCUGGACGGUGAACCCAGGAUGCGGAUCACCACAGUCUGUGCCAUGAAGUCCUCAGCGCCGCACACAGAGCCUGUGGGACCAGCCGCUCUAGAGAGUGUGCGGGGUGGAGCCUGACGUCGCCCGGAAAGAAACAGAAAUUUGAGGAUGCCAUCACCCAUUGGCUAAACAGAGGUCGGAAUGGGCACGACUGCUACGAUUACCACCAGCGCCACCACGAUGAGGAUGCUGCGAUCGGUCCCUGGAGCCCCUAGGGCUUCAGGCACGGAGCCAGCAUCAACUACGACGACUACUGACCGUCGCUCAGGCGGGCUCGGGGCCGCAGGCUCCGCACGAUGCCCGGGCUGUGUCUGCUGCGCCCGUUCUCGGUUCAUCCUUCCUACCCGCUUUCUGUGGCCACAAAGGAAGAGUUAAAGCAAAGAACGUAAAUGCCUUUCGAGGUUUCAUGCAAGUACCUAACAAUGCAUUUCAUUUAAAAAUAGAAAUAAAAACAUUUUGUUAACACA
Balaenoptera acutorostrata (minke whale) is the source of this 1106-nucleotide long non-coding RNA. RefSeq lists it as uncharacterized. The transcript is spliced from 3 exons. The record is from RefSeq and is a predicted model, not a curated record. NCBI's taxonomy places the organism in Eukaryota, Metazoa, Chordata, Mammalia, Artiodactyla, Balaenopteridae.